This 1059-nucleotide long non-coding RNA is filed under the name Salvia miltiorrhiza (redroot sage). RNAcentral's name for it is "long non-coding RNA (SMIL_LNC004873)". The record is from RNAcentral. Lineage: Eukaryota; Viridiplantae; Streptophyta; Magnoliopsida; Lamiales; Lamiaceae.
GAGAGAGAGUUUACCACUGCACCUGUAGCCAAUAUGUACAUAUCUAUAGGUGCCUCAUCGUGCAAUAUUAUAUCUUCUCUAGGAAGAAAUACUUAACCUUCAUCUUAGAGACCUUUGCAAGAUUGAGUCAUCUAGAUCAAGAACAUGGAAACCUAGCUCAAAGAAAUUCAAAAAAUGAAAUGAGACCAUCAAUCCUAUUCAUUACCAGCUGAAAGAGCCCUUUAAACAAAUAUACCUGAGGUAAAAGGGUGAUUGAGAAUGACAAUACACAUUAGAGCUGGUAAGAGCAAUAGCCUAUGUGUUACAGUAUAGUUGAAGUUAUGCACUUUCUCAGCUCUUCUAGCUUUGGUAAGAACAUGUGACAAAAAAUCCAAGCAAUUGCCUUACUAAACAUUCAGAAAUUAAUAAUACAAACACAUGGGCAGCAUGUCAUUUAAGUGAUUUAAACUUACCAAAUCCACGAACCUUCUGUAUAAAUAGGUUUGAUCCAAAUACAAAAUAAUUAUCAAACAACAAUCUCAAUUAUAUUCAUUAAUACCCAUGCAUCAAUUAGUUAAUAAUUUAACCACAACAACUUUACCGGAAAAAUAAGAACAAUAAUGAAAAACAACAUCACCUACUAACUUUAGCAUAUCUGUACUCUCCAACAUAUGCAACAAUGCCUAAUAAAAUGAAUAGCUCCAUAUAGUUAAUAAUCAAACUUAUUACUUGGCAUGUUAACUAUAACUGUUAUAGCUUCACAACUAUAAGUUAGACAAUGUUAAAUAAGAGUUAGGGGUGAAAAACAGAUAUACUAGAAGAAGCAGGAGAUAAUGGCUCUAGGGAGCAUCCAUUUCAACUUCACUGAAAAAAAUAAUAGAGAGAAAUGUACUUACUAUUUCUUACACACAAAAAAAGAGCUAAAUCAACAUAAAACCAAUAUUAUAUCUCUAUAAGACUAUGGAUAGAAAUAAUGCAGAGAGAGAUAGAGAAGUUAAACAGAGAAUGCUAAAUAUUUAGAGAAUAGAAAAUUCGUGAAAUAAAAACGAACAGAUCUACAAUUUUUACGAACAAAUCAAU